CUCCUCCUGGGCUGGGACACACCUACUCAACUUUCUCAGCAGCCUCCUCGGAGUGCGAGUGCACCGGGCUUUCCUGCUCUGUCUCUGCACCUCCCUCGGGAGCCUGUCAGCCCGGUGUGUGUGGAAAGGGCUCCAGCCCAGCAGCCCACCCUGGGGCACCCUCCCCUACCUGAAGGGCGUAGGGCUUCGGGAGUUUUUCCAUCAUGAUUAUUGCCUUCUUGGGCUUUGUCAUUUUCUUGCUCCAUUGUACAACCUGUGAGAAGCCCCGAGAAGGGCUUGUCUCCUCCUCCACCUGGCGCUUCACACACACUCUCUAUAAUGCAACCAUCUACGAAAACUCUGCCCCCAAGACCUACGUGGAAAGCUCUGUGAAAAUGGGCAUUUACCUGGCCGAGCCCCAGUGGGCAGUGAGAUACCGGAUUAUCUCUGGGGAUGUGGCCAAUGUGUUUAAAACAGAGGAAUAUGUGGUGGGCAACUUCUGCUUUCUGAGAAUAAGGACAAAGAGCAGCAACACGGCCCUCCUGAACAGGGAGGUGCGAGACAGCUACACCCUCAUCAUCCAGGCCACAGAGAAGACCUUGGAGUUAGAAGCUUUGACCCGUGUGGUGGUCCACAUCCUGGACCAGAAUGACCUGAAGCCCCUCUUCUCCCCACCCUCAUACCGAGUCACCAUCUCUGAGGACAUGUCCCUCAAGAGCCCCAUCUGUAAGGUGACUGCCACAGAUGCUGAUCUGGGCCAGAAUGCCCAGUUCUAUUAUGCCUUUAACACGAGGUCAGAGAUGUUUGCCAUCCAUCCCACCAGUGGUGUGGUCACCUUGGCUGGGAAGCUCAAUGUCACCUGGAGAGGGAGGUAUGAGCUCCAGGUGCUGGCUGUGGACCGCAUGAGGAAAAUCUCAGAGGGCAAUGGCUUUGGUAAUCUGGCUGCACUCGUCAUCCACGUGGAGCCUGCCCUCAGAAAGCCCCCAGCCAUCAUCUCAGUGAUGGUGGCUCCGCCAGACAGCAGAGAGGAUACCACCUAUGCCACUGUGAUGGUAGACGCAAACAGCUCAGGUGCUGAAGUGGACUCCCUGGAAAUUGUUGGUGGUGACUCUGGAAAGUACUUCAAAGCCAUCAAGUCUUACACCCGCAGUAAUGAGUUCAGUUUGGUGUCGGUUAAAGACAUCAACUGGCUGGAGCACCUUCAUGGAUUCAACCUCAGCCUACAGGCCAGGAGUGGGAGCAGAACUUCUUUUUAUUCCCAGAUCAGGGGCUUUCACCUACCACCUUCCAAACUGGCUUCCCUUAAGUUUGAGAAGGCUGUUUACAGAGUGCAGCUUAGUGAGGUCUCCCCUCCUGGGAGCCGCGUGGUGAUGGUGAAGGUAACCCGAGCUUUCCCUAACCUGCAGUAUGUUCUAAAGCCAUCCGCAGAGAAUGUGGGGUUUAGACUUAAUGCUCGCACUGGACUCAUCACCACCACAAAGCUCUUGGACUUCCAUGACCGAGCCCACUACCAGCUGCACAUCAGAACCUCACCAGGCCUGGCCUCCACCACUGUGGUCAUCGAUAUUGUGGACUGUAACAACCAUGCCCCCAUCUUCAACAGGUCCUCCUAUGAUGGUACCUUUGAUGAGAACAUCCCACCAGGCACCAGCAUUUUGAUGGUUAGUGCCACAGACAAGGAUCAUGGAGAGAAUGGAUAUGUCACCUAUUCCAUCACUCGUCCAAAAGCUGUGCCCUUUUCUAUCGACCCUUACCUGGGGAUCAUCUCCACCUCCAAACCCAUGGACUAUGAGCUCAUGAAAAGAAUUUAUACCUUCCGGGUACGGGCAUCAGACUGGGGAUCCCCAUUUCGCCAAGAAAAGGAAGUGUCUGUAUCUCUUAGGCUCAAGAACUUGAACGACAACAAGCCUAUGUUUGAGCAAGUCAACUGCACUGGGUCUAUCCGUGAAGACUGGCCAGUAGGAAAAUCUGUAAUGACCGUGUCAGCCAUAGAUGUGGAUGAGCUUCAGAACCUAAAAUAUGAGUUUGUGUCAGGCAAUGAACUACAGUAUUUUGAUCUAAAUCAUUUCUCUGGAGUGAUAUCACUCAGACGCUCUUUUAUGAAUCAUACAACAGGUCAACCCAUCAACUAUUUCCUAAAAAUUACAGCCUCAGACGGGAAACACUAUGCCUCGCCCACCACUUUGAAUGUUACUGUAGUAAAAGACCCUCGUUUCGAAGUCCCUAUAACGUGUGAUAACACAGGAGUACUGACACAUUUCACAAAGACCAUCCUCCAUUCUGUUGGGUUUCAGAACCAGGACUACAAUGAUGAGGACUUCAUUUCCUUAAGUGCAUAUCAGAUCAAUCACCAUACCCCCCAGUUUGAGGACCAUUUCCCACAGUCCAUUGACAUCCUUGAGAGGGUUCCUGUCAGUACCUCCCUGGCCCGCUUGGCAGCCAUUGACCCUGACAGUGGCUAUAAUGGCAAACUGGUCUAUGUGAUUGCAGAUGGCAAUGAUGAGGGCUGCUUUGACAUGGAGCUGGAGACAGGGAUGCUCACUGUAGCUGCCCCUCUGGACUAUGAAGCCACCAGUUUCUACAUCCUCAAUGUAACAGUGUAUGACCUGGGCACUCCCCAGAAGUCGUCCUGGAAGCUGCUGACGGUGAAUGUGAAAGACUGGAAUGACAAUGCUCCCAGAUUUCCUCCUGGUGGGUACCAGAUAACCAUCUCAGAGGACACAGAAGUUGGAACCACAAUUGCAGAGUUGAAAGCAAAAGAUGCUGACUCGGAUGACAAUGGGAGGGUUCGCUACACCCUGCUAAGCCCCACAGAGAAGUUCGCCCUUCAUCCCCUCACUGGGGAACUAGCUGUCACAGGACACCUAGACCGGGAAUCAGAGCCACAAUAUAUACUCAAGGUGGAGGCCAGGGAUCAGCCCAGGAAGGGCCACCAGCUCUUCUCUGUCACUGACCUGAUAAUCACAUUGGAAGAUGCCAAUGACAACUCUCCUCAAUGCAUCACAGAACUCAGCAGUCUGAAAGUCCCAGAGGAUAUGCCUCCAGGAACUAUUCUAACAUUUCUGGAUGCCUCUGAUCCUGAUGUGGGCCCUUCGGGAGAAGUGCGUUAUGUCCUGUUGGAUGAUGCCCAUGGGACCUUCCAUGUGGACCUGAUGACCGGCGCACUCAGUCUGGAGAGAGAGCUGGAUUUUGAGAGGCGGGCUGAAUACAAUCUGAGUUUGUGGGCCAGUGACAGUGGGAGGCCCCUGGCCCGCAGGACCCUUUGCCACGUGGAAGUGAUAGUCCUGGAUGUGAAUGAGAAUCUCCACCCUCCUCGCUUUGCCUCCUUUGUGCACCAGGGCCAAGUGCAGGAAAAUAGCCCCUCGGGCACCCAGGUGAUGGUAGUGACUGCCCACGAUGAGGACAGUGGCUUGGAUGGGGAGCUCCAGUACUUCCUGAGGGCUGGCACCAGUCUUGCAGCCUUUAGCAUCAACCAAGACACAGGUAUUAUUCAGACUCUGGCACCCCUGGACCGAGAAUUUGUGUCCUGCUACUGGCUGACGGUACUGGCAGUGGAUAGGGGUUCCAUACCUCUCUCUUCUGUAACUGAAGUCUACAUUGAGGUUACGGAUGUCAACGACAACCCACCCCAGAUGUCCAGGCCCGUGUUCUACCCUUCUGUCCAGGAGGAUGCACCCUUGCAUACUUCUGUGCUUCAGCUGGAUGCCCAGGACCCGGACUCCAGCUCCAAAGGAAAGCUGACCUUUAACAUCACCAGUGGGAACAACAUGGGAUUCUUUGCAAUUCACCCUUUCACAGGUCUCCUAUCCACCGCCCGGCAGCUGGACAGAGAGAACAAGGAUGAACAUAUCCUGGAGGUGACUGUGCUGGACAACGGGGAGCCCUCCUUAAAGUCCACCUCCAGGGUGGUAGUACGCAUCUUAGAUGUCAAUGACAACCCCCCUGUGUUCUCGCACAAACUCUUCAAUGUCCGCCUUCCAGAGAGGCUGAGCCCGGCCACCCUUGGGCCCGUGUACAGGCUGGUGGCUUCAGACCCCGAUGAGGGUCUCAAUGGCAGGGUCACCUACAGUAUCGAGGAGAGUGAUGAAGGGAGCUUCAGUAUCGACCCAGCCACAGGCAUGGUGUCAUCCAGCAGCACCUUCACAGCUGGAGAAUACAACAUCCUCACGAUCAAAGCAACAGACAGUGGGCAGCCACCACUCUCAGCCAGUGUCCGGCUACACAUCGAGUGGAUCCCCCAGCCCCGGUCCUCCUCCAUACCACUGGCCUUUGACGAGCCCCACUACAGCUUCACAGUCAUGGAGACUGACCCCGUGAACCACAUGGUGGGCGUCAUCAGUGUGGAGGGCCGACCGGGUCUCUUCUGGUUCAACAUCUCUGGUGGUGACAAGGACAUGGACUUUGAUAUUGAGAAGACCACAGGCAGCAUUGUCAUUGCCAAGCCUCUGGACACAAGGAGGAGGUCGAACUAUAAUUUGACCGUGGAGGUGACCGAUGGGUCCCACACCAUUGCCACUCAGGUCUACAUCUUCAUGAUUGCCAAUGUUAAUCACCAUCGGCCCCAGUUUCUGGAGGCUCAUUAUGAAGUCAGAGUUCCCCAGGACACACUGCCUGGGGUGGAGCUCCUCCGAGUAGAGGCCACGGAUCCAGACAAGGGCAAGGGCCUCAUCUACACCAUACAUGGCAGCCAAGACCCGGGAAGUGCCAGUCUCUUCCAGCUGGACCCAAGCAGUGGUGUCCUGGUAACAGUGGGGAAGUUGGACUUGGGCUCGGGCCCCUCCCAUCACACGCUGACAGUUAUGGUCCGAGACCAGGAGAUGCCCAUCAAGAGGAACUUUGUGUGGGUGUCCAUUUAUGUGGAGGAUGGAAACCUCCACCCACCCCACUUUACCCAGCUCCACUAUGAGGCAAGCGUUCCUGACACCACGGCCCCUGGCACAGAGCUGCUCCAGGUCCGAGCCAUGGAUGGUGACUGGGGAGCCAAUGCUGAGGUCCACUACUCCCUCCUCAAAGGGAACAGCGAGGGUUUCUUCAACAUUGAUGCCCUGCUAGGCACCAUCACUCUGGCCCAGAAACUUGAUCAGGCAAAUCAUGCCCGGUAUAGUCUGACAGUCAAGGCAGAAGAUCAAGGCUCCCCACAGUGGCAUGACCUGGCUACGGUGAUCAUUAAUGUCUACCCCUCAGAGAGCAGUGCCCCCAUCUUCUCCAAAGCUGAGUACUUCGUAGAGAUCCCUGAAUCAAUCCCUGUUGGCUCCCCAAUCCUCCUUGUGUCAGCCACAAGCUCCUCAGAAGUUACCUAUGAAUUAAGAGAGGGAAACAAGGAUGGUGUAUUCUCCAUGAACUCAUAUUCUGGCCUCAUUUCCACCCACAAGAAACUGGACCAUGAGAAAAUUUCAUCUUAUCAGCUGAAAAUCCGAGGCAGCAAUAUGGCAGGUGCAUUUACUGAUGUCAUGGCUCUUGUUUACAUCAUUGAUGAAAAUGACAAUGCUCCCAUGUUCUUCAAGUCCAUUUUUGUGGGCCAAGUUAGUGAAGCAGCUCCUCUGUACAGCAUGAUCAUGGAUGAAAACAACAAUCCCCUUGUGAUUCGUGCUUCUGACAGUGACGAAGAAGCUAAUUCCUUGUUGGUCUAUGAAAUUUUGGAUCCAGAGGCUUUGAAGUUUUUCAAAAUUGAUCCCAGCAUGGGAACCCUAAUCAUCAUAUCAGAGAUGGAUUAUGAGAGCAUGCCUUCUUUCCAAUUCAGCGUCUACGUCCAUGACCAAGGAAACCCUGUCUUAUUUGCAUCCAGGCCUGUCCAGGUUAUCAUCAAUGUCAGAGAUGUAAAUGAUUCUCCUCCCAGGUUCUCAGACCAUGUAUAUGAAGUAGCAGUAGUGAAGCCCAUCCAUCGGGGUAUGGAACUUCUCAUUGUGCGGGCCAGCGACGAUGACUCAGAAGUCAAUUAUAGUAUCAAAACUGGCAAUGCUGAUGAAGCUGUUGCCAUCCAUUCCAUCACAGGUCGUAUAUCUGUACUGAAUCCUGCUUUCCUGGGGGUCUCUAGGGAGCUCACUAUCAGGGCUUCUGAUGGCCUGUAUCAAGAUACUGCACUUGUAAAAAUUUUUUUGACACAAGCCCCUAACACAAGUUUACAGUUUGAUCAGAUUGUCUAUAGGGCAACAGUGAAGGAGAAUUUACAGGAUAGAAAGGCAGUGGUGAUUCUUGGCGCCCAGGGCAAUCACUUGAAUGACACUCUUUCCUACUUCCUGUUGAAUGGCACAGAUAUGUUUCAUAUGGUCAAAUCAGCAGGUGUGUUGCAGACAAGAGGUAUGGUGUUUGACAGAGAAGAGCAGGACACUUAUGAGGUGGCAGUGGAAUUGAGGGACAAUCGGACCCCUCAGCGAGUGGCUCAGGCUCUGGUCAGAGUCUCUGUUGAGGAUGUCAAUGACAAUCCCCCUCAAUUUAAGCACCUGCCCUACUACACAAUUAUCCAAGAUGGCACAGAGCCAGGGGAUGUCCUCUUUCAGGUGUCUGCCACUGACCAGGACUUGGGGGUAAAUGGUGCUGUAACAUACGCAUUUGCAGAAGACUACACAUAUUUUCGAAUAGACCCUUAUCUUGGGGACAUAUCACUGAAGAAACCCUUUGACUAUCAAGCUUUAAAUAAGUAUCACCUCAAAGUCAUUGCUCGGGAUGGAGGAACCCCAUCCCUCCAGACUGAGGAAGAGGUACUUGUCACUGUGAGAAAUAAAUCCAACCCACUGUUUCAGAGUCCUUACUACAAAGUGAGAGUGCCUGAAAAUAUCACACUCUAUACGCCAAUUCUCCACACCCAGGCCCGAAGUCCAGAGGGACUCCGACUCAUUUACAACAUUGUGGAGGAAGAGCCCCUGAUGCUCUUUACCACUGACUUUAAGACUGGAGUUCUAACAGUAACAGGCCCUUUGGACUAUGAGUCUAAGACCAAACAUGUGUUCACAGUCAGAGCCACAGACACAGCUUUGGGGUCAUUUUCUGAGGCCACGGUGGAAGUUCUGGUGGAGGACAUCAAUGAUAAUCCUCCCACUUUUUCUCAAUUGGUCUACACUACUUCAAUCUCAGAAGGCUUGCCUGCUCAGACUCCUGUGAUCCAACUGUUGGCUUCUGACCAGGAUUCAGGGAAGAACCGUGAUGUUUCCUAUCAGAUUGUAGAGGAUGGUUCAGAUAUUUCUAAAUUCUUCCAGAUCAACGGGAGCACAGGGGAGAUGUCCACAGUUCAAGAGCUGGAUUAUGAAACUCAACAACACUUUCAUGUGAAGGUCAGGGCCAUGGAUAGAGGAGACCCCCCACUCACUGGUGAAACUCUUGUGGUUGUUAAUGUAUCUGACAUCAAUGAUAACCCCCCAGAAUUCAGGCAACCUCAGUAUGAAGCCAAUGUCAGUGAGCUGGCAACCUGUGGACACCUGGUUCUUAAAGUUCAAGCUCUUGACCCUGACAGCAGGGACACCUCCCAUCUGGAGUACCUGAUUCUUUCUGGCAAUCAGGACAGGCAUUUCUCCAUUAACAGCUCAUCAGGAAUAAUUUCUAUGUUUAACCUUUGCAAAAAGAACCUGGACUCUUCUUACAAUUUGAGGGUAGGUGCUUCUGAUGGGGUCUUUCAGGCAACUGUGCCAGUGUAUAUCAACACUACAAAUGCCAACAAGUACAGCCCAGAGUUCCAGCAGCAUGUUUAUGAGGCAGAAUUAGCAGAGAAUGCAAAGGUGGGAACAAAGGUGAUUGAGUUGCUAGCCAUAGAUAAAGACAGUGGUCCCUAUGGUACUGUAGAUUAUACCAUCAUCAAUAAACUAGCAGGUGAGAAGUUUUCCAUAAACCCCAAUGGCCAGAUCACCACUCUGCAGAAACUGGAUCGGGAAAAUUCAACAGAAAGAGUUAUUGCUAUUAAAGUCAUGGCUCAGGAUGGAGGAGGAAGAGUGGCCUUCUGCACUGUAAAGAUCAUCCUGACAGAUGAAAAUGACAACCCUCCACAAUUUAAAGCAUCUGAGUACACAGUGUCCAUUCAGUCCAAUGUCAGUAAAGAUUCCCCAGUUAUUCAGGUGUUGGCCUACGAUGCAGAUGAGGGUCAGAAUGCAGAUGUCACCUACUCAGUGGACUCAAUGGAGGACUUGGAUGAAGAAGUCAUUGAAGUCAACCCAACUACUGGUGUUGUCAAGGUGAAGGAGAGCUUGGUGGGAUUGGAAAAUCGAGCCUUUGAUUUAAAAAUCAAAGCCCAAGAUGGGGGCCCUCCUCACUGGAACUCCCUGGUCCUGCUACGACUUCAGGUGGUUCCUAAUGAAGUACUCUUGCCCAAAUUUUCUGAACCUCUGUAUACUUUCUCUGCAUCUGAAGAUCUUCCAGAAGGGUCAGAAAUUGGUUCUGUUAAAGCAGUGGCUGCUCAAGAUCCAGUCAUCUAUAGUCUAGUGCAGGGCACUACACCAGAAAGCAACAAGGAUGGUGUCUUCUCCUUGGACCGAAACACAGGAGUUCUAAAGGUGAGAAAGGCCAUGGACUAUGAGUCCACCAAAUGGUACCAGAUUGAUUUAAUGGCACAUUGUCCCCAUAAUGAUACUCACUUGGUUUCCCUGGUCUCUGUCAAUAUCCAAGUGAAAGAUGUCAAUGAUAAUAGGCCUAUAUUUGAGGCUGAUCCCUAUAAGGCUGUUCUCACUGAGAAUAUGCCAGUGGGGACCUCAGUCAUUCAAGUGACUGCCAAUGACGAGGACACUGGCAGUGAUGGCCAGGUGAGCUACAGGCUGCCAGUGGACCCUGGUAGCAAUAUCCAUGAGCUCUUUGCCAUUGACAGUGAGACUGGCUGGAUCACCACACUCCAGGAACUUGACUGUGAGACCCACCAGAACUACCGUUUUUAUGUGGUGGCCUAUGACCAUGGAAGGACCAUCCAGCUAUCUUCUCAGGUUCUUGUUGAAGUCUCCAUUACAGAUGAGAAUGACAACGCUCCCCAAUUUGCUUCUGAAGACUACAGAGGAUCUGUGGUUGAGAACAAUGAACCUGGUGAACUUGUGGUCACUCUUAAAACCUUGGAUGCUGAUAUCUCUGAGCAGAACAGACAGGUCACCUGCUAUAUCACAGAGGGAGAUCCCUUGGGCCAGUUUGGCAUCAGCCAAGCUGGAGAUGAAUGGAGGAUUUUCUCAAGGAAGACCCUGGACCGUGAACACACUGCCAAGUACUUGCUCAGAAUCACAGCUUCUGAUGGCAAGUUCCAGGCUUCAGUCCUUGUAGAGAUCUUCGUCCUGGACAUCAAUGAUAACAGCCCACAAUGCUCACAGCUUCUCUAUACUGGCAAAAUCAGUGAAGAUAUAUCUCCAGGACACUUCAUUUUGAAAGUUUCUGCAACAGACUUGGAUUCUGAUACCAAUGCUCAGAUCACAUAUUCUCUGCAUGGUCCUGGGGCAGAUGAAUUUAAGCUGGAUCCUCAUACAGGGGAGCUGACCACCCUUACAGCCCUGGACCGAGAGAAGAAGGAUACGUACAGCCUUGUUGCCAAGGCGACAGAUGGAGGUGGCCAAUCAUGCCAGGCAGAUGUGAUCCUCCAUGUGGAGGAUGUGAAUGACAACGCCCCCCAUUUCUUCCCCAGCCACUGUGCUGUGGCUGUCUUCGACAACACCACGGUUAAGACUCCCGUAGCUGUGGUGUUGGCCCGGGAUCCUGACCAAGGUGCCAAUGCCCAGGUGGUUUACUCUCUGACGGACUCUGCUGAAGGCCAUUUUUCCAUUGAGGCCACCACGGGUGUGAUUCGGCUGGAGAAGCCACUACGGGUCAGGCCACAGGAAGCACUGGAGCUCACUGUCCGUGCCUCUGACCUGGGAACCCCAAUACCACUGUCCACUCUGGGCACAGUCACUGUCUCCGUGGUAGGCCUUGAUGACUAUCUGCCGGUGUUCCUGAACACUGAGCAUAGUGUGCAGGUGCCCGAGGACGCCCAGCUUGGCACAGAGGUGCUGCGGCUGGCCACCCUCACUCGCCCCAGUGCCGAGAAGACCAGCUACCGUGUGGUCAGUGGGAACGAGCAGGGGAGGUUCCGCCUGGAUGCCCUCACAGGGAUCCUGUAUGUCAACAAGAGCCUGGAUUUUGAGACAAGCUCCAAGUUCUUCCUAUCCAUAGAAUGCAGCCGGAAAGGCUCUUCCUCCCUCAGUGACAUGACCACAAUCGUGGUCAACAUCACUGAUGUCAAUGAACACCGACCCAGAUUCUCCCAGGAUCUGUACAGCACGAGGGUCUUAGAGAAUGCCAUCGUGGGUGACGUUGUGCUCACAAUGUCAGCAACUGAUGAAGAUGGACCUGCAAAUAGUGCCAUCACCUACAGCCUGGUAGGAGGGAACCAGCUCGGACACUUUGCUGUCCACCCCAAGAAGGGGGAGCUACAGGUGGCCAAGGCCCUGGAUUGGGAACAGAUUUCUAGCUAUUCCCUGAGGCUCCGAGCCACAGACAGCGGGCGGCCCCCACUGCAUGAAGACAUAGACAUUGCUAUCCAAGUGGUUGAUGUCAAUGAUAACCCACCAAGAUUCUUCCAGCUCAACUACAGCACCUCUGUCCAGGAGAACUCACCCCUUGGAAGCAAAGUCCUACAGCUGAUCCUAAGUGACCCAGACUCCCCAGAGAAUGGUCCCCCCUACUCAUUCCAAAUCACCAAGGGGAAUGAUGGCUCUGCCUUCCGAGUGACCCCUGAUGGAUGGCUGGUGACCACUAUGGGCCUGAGCAGGAGAGUCCAGGAAUGGUAUCAGCUUCAGAUCAAGGUGUCAGACAGUGGCAUCCCUCCCCUCUCGUCUUCAACGUCUGUCAGUGUUCAUGUCACGGAGCAGAGCCACUACCCACCCUCUGCCCUCCCACUGGAGAUCUUCAUCACCAUUGGGGAGGAGGAAUUCCAGGGUGGCAUGGUGGGUAAAAUCCAUGCCACAGACCGAGACCCACAGGACACGCUGACCUACAGCCUGGCAGGAGAGGACAACGUGGCCAGGCACUUCUCAGUGGGCGCACUCGAUGGCAAGAUUAUCGCCGCCCAGGACCUGCCUCGUGGCCGCUAUGCAUUCAACGUCACAGUCAGUGAUGGGACCUUCGCUGCCACUGCUGGGGUCCAUGUCCAUGUGUGGCACGUGGGGCGGGAGGCUCUGCAGCAGGCCAUGUGGUUGGGCUUCCACCAGCUCACCCCAGAGGAACUGGUGAGCGACCACUGGAGGAACCUGCAGAGGUUCCUCAGCAACAAACUGGACAUCAAACGAGCUAACAUCCACCUGGCCAGCCUUCAGCCUGCAGAGACCACAGCUGGGGUGGACGUGCUCCUGGUCUUUGAGAGGCAUUCUGGAACCUUCUACAAGCUCCAGGAGCUGGCAUCCAUCAUCACUCGCUCAGCCAAGGAGAUGGAGCACUUGGUGGGAAUUCAGAUGAGGUCAGCCAUGCCUGUGGCGCCCUGCCAGGGCCCAAGCUGCCAGGGUCAAAUGUGCCAGGAGACGGUGCACCUGGACCCCAGGGUGGGCCCCAUGUACAGCACAGCCAGGCUCAGCAUCCUGACCCCGCGGCACCGCCUGGAGAGGAGCUGCUCCUGCAACGGUACUGCCACAAGAUUCAGCGGACAAAGCUUUGGGCGGUACAGUCUUCCGGAGGCACAGAACUGGCACAUCCGUUUCCGCCUGAAAACACUCCAGUCGCAGGCUGUUCUCCUGUUCAGCAAUGAGACAGUGUAUGUCUCCCUGAAGCUGGCUGAUGGAGUGCUCCAGCUGGAAUACCACUGCCCGGGUGGUUUCUAUGGAAAUCUUUCCUCCUGGCUCCACGUGAAUGACCAAGAGUGGCACUCCAUUGUGGUGGAGGAGAUAGACGCUUCCAUUCGCCUAUUGGUUGACAGCUCAGGCAAUGCCUCCCUUGUGCUCCCAGAGAACUGCCAGGGUCUCAGGCCCGAAGGAGACCUCUUUCUGGGUGGCCUUGUUCUCUUGCAUUCUUCCCCAGUUGUGUCCCAGGGUUUUGAAGGCUGCCUGGAUGCGGUUGUGAUCAACGGAGAGGCGCUGGAGCUGCUGGUCCAUGGCAAGAAGUCAUCAGGGUUGCAAGAGAGGCAGGCCCUCACCCAGUGCUGCUCACACAGAAAUGACUGCCGCCAAAACCCAUGUCUGAAUGGCGGCAAGUGCUCACAGACCCGCGGGGCAGGCUAUGUCUGCAAGUGUCCCCCACAGUUCUCGGGCAGGCACUGUGAACAAAGAAGGGAGAACUGUACUUCAAUACCCUGCCUGGAAGGUGGCACUUGCAUCUCAUCCCCUGAAGGUGUCUCCUGUAACUGCCCUCACCCUUAUAUGGGAGACAGGUAAGCACGGGAGCGACUUGCCUUUGGCUCCUCAUCCUGGGUUUGGGACCAUUAGGAAAUGACCUCCGCAUUCCUGCCCAUGAGAGACCAGGAGCUGAGUGCUCCAGUGACCUGGCUUCUUGGUCUUUUCUACGUGCCAAGGCUUCUCCCUCCAGCCACCUGCAUCAGAACAUGCAGGGAAAGAGGGUUCUCAGUGAUUUCUCUAGUCUUCUUCUGGACGUACUGAAUCAGACUCAUUAGGCUGGGCUCCAGGAAUCUACACUUCUAAUCCGCUCCUCAGGCAUUUCCCAUCUUUGCUGAAGUCAGAAAAUGGCUGAAGUUCUUAUUCUCUGGCACUGGGUGGUGACUUCCUGGAGAGUGGCCUGAGGACAAUGACUCCCCUAGGUACAAACACUGCUGUGCUGAACCCCACCGCAAGCUACCUGUGCCUUGUAUUAUGCUAGUCUGGAGGACUGCAAGAAUCCUUAGAUCCCUAGAAUCCUAGAAGCAAAGAGUUUUGCUAAUUAUCUGGUUUUAGGGCUCCCCAGUUUGGGAGUCUUUUUAAAAAUUAUCAGGGACACUUGUGGAAAAUACAGAUUUCUGGACCGACUAUAUCAGAAUCUCCAAGGAAUGAGGCCUGGGAUUCUAUCUAUAACAAGCUCCCAAGAGAUCCCCUUGUUGUCAGCAUGUGCAUAAGAGAGCCAAUGAUGCAGUCCACCCACUCACUUUACACAUGGGGAAACUGAGGCCCAGAGAAAGAAAGGGCUUGUCCAAAGGGCCCCCCACCAUGUGUUUGUGACCCAAGUCCUUUCUCUCAGCACCUGGCAUUUCUGGCCCCACUGCACACCUCGCUCGGCAGGAGAUGUGUUGGCAGGAUACUUCCUGGCUGAAAGUGGUGGUGUUUGCAUUUUAAAAGAGGAACUUGGGGAGGACGAUGUCUAACCCAAGAGAAUAAAGUGUUGGUGGUGAAACUGUAGACACUGGGACUCAAGUAGAAUGAAGGGAGCCUUUCUUAAUAUCCCUCGAAAGUGGAUGAAACUGGCCACGGAACCUCCUAGGAGCCUUAUACCAUGGCACGCCAAGCUGGCAGUGACCUGGGAGGUCAUACAAUUCCAAGUGCUCGCUCUGAACAGUUGUCCGAUGGAAGGUUUGUGCAAGACCAACUGGGUUCCUGUGACCUCCUGAAGAACAGUGGGCAACAGUGGCGCCCAGCUGCCACAGCUGCGUGCUGCUGACUUCUGUCUGGGACUCUGACAAUAUUGCUGAGGACAGCUGGGUGUGAAAUGGAAGCAAGGGGCUGCUCAGAAGGACACUGCCUAGUCACCCCUGAGAUCACAAGGGGUGACUGGGGACAACAGGAGA
This is an RNA transcript of Lutra lutra (Eurasian river otter), 13609 nucleotides long. It is a transcript of the gene named FAT atypical cadherin 2, with no coding region annotated. The record is from RefSeq and is a predicted model, not a curated record. The transcript has 23 exons. NCBI's taxonomy places the organism in Eukaryota, Metazoa, Chordata, Mammalia, Carnivora, Mustelidae.